Molecule: long non-coding RNA, 1438 nt
Organism: Orcinus orca (killer whale)
Lineage: Eukaryota; Metazoa; Chordata; Mammalia; Artiodactyla; Delphinidae
Exons: 2
Source: RefSeq, a predicted model, not a curated record
AGUGGGCAAGCGGAGGGUGGGAGGUGGGCGCAGGUUGCUCGUCUGUGCUGGCCGGGGGUGUGCCCCUGCUUCCCCCCGCCCCCGUCCCGCAAGAGAUGCCCAGUGGGCGGAGUAACAGGAACCACGGAGCAGCACAGAUUUGGCUGAAAAGCCCCGGGUGGGCGCGCAGCACCCGCUGGUGGGGGACUUGUCAGAUGCGAACUGAUGAACACUGAGCGCUCAGCUGCAGAGCAGGCACCUGUGCUGAACGUCAGAGCAAAGUUUUCCAACAGUGCACUCCGCGCUGAUGUCUGCAUUGGCUCUCAGGGAAUAGAGCCCGGCGCUGGGGGCCGCGUGACCCGCAGGGGCCACGGGAGGGGCUUGCCAGCUGGGGUCCCGCUCACCUUCACUGGCGUCAUCCAGUCUUGCCACCCCUUCCAGGCCAGGGGAGGCUCAGGACCAAUACGUGUGGCCUUGCCGUGCCAGCCCGGCUGCCGGGGAGCUGUUCUGCGGAGCUGCUUUACGCUGAGCUGUGGUUAUGACAAAACAGGAACAAGAGAGGAACAGAAAAAGAUCAGCCAAGUGUUUUUCAUGGCGUCGUUUUUCUUGAAGAUUCACUUUAAUAGUUGGAACUAUAGGGAAGAAACGUUUUGGAAGCGAGAAUAAGACUACGACAAGCCAAACAGCAUAAUAGUCUAAAUGUGAAAUAAAAGAAUGUAUCACUUCCUGAAAAAAGAAAGAAAAAAUUGAGCUCACUGACACACACGUAUGCACCUGUGCACACAUCCCAUACACGUUCCUACAUGGAUAUUAGAAGAGAUUGUUUACUUGGAUUUUUAAAAAAUUACUUAUCUUGGGCUUCCCUGGUGGCGCAGUGGUUGGGAGUCCGCCUGCCGAUGCAGGGGACACGGGUUCGUGCCCCGGUCCGGGAAGAUUCCACAUGCCGCGGAGCGGCUGGGCCCGUGAGCCAUGGCCGCUGAGCCUGCGCAUCCGGAGCCUGUGCUCCGCAACGGGAGAGGCCACAACAGUGAGAGGCCCGCGUACCGCAAAAAAAAAAAAAAAAAAAAGAAAUUACUUAUCUUAAAAAAAAAAUAAGCAGAGGAGGAGGGAGGGGGGGUUUAGAGGAAGGCUGUCAAAAGGGACAAACUUCCAGUUAUAAGAUAAAUAACUACUGGGGAUGUCAUGUACAGGACGAUAAAUGUAAUGAGCACUGCUGCAGGUUAUAUAUGAAAGUUGUUGAGAGAGUAGGCCUAAGAGUUCUCAUCACAAGAAAAAGAAUUUUUUUUCUAUUUCUUUAAUUUUGUGUCUACAUGGAUGAUGGACGUUCACCAGACUUACAGCGGUCAUCAUUUCAGGAUGUACAAAAGUCAAAUCAUUAUUCUGUACGCCUCAACUGUAUUCAGCGCUCUGUGUCAAUUAUAUCUCAAUAAAACUGGAAGAAAACCAAAAAUUAAGCAGA